This 364-nucleotide unclassified non-coding RNA is filed under the name soil metagenome. RNAcentral describes it as "partial contains 5.8S ribosomal RNA, internal transcribed spacer 2, and large subunit ribosomal RNA". The stretch from base 1 to 120 matches the Rfam family "5.8S ribosomal RNA", at positions 35 to 154 of the family's 154-position model. The record is from RNAcentral.
GAUGAAGAACGCAGCGAAAUGCGAUAAGUAGUGUGAAUUGCAGAAUUCAGUGAAUCAUCGAAUCUUUGAACGCACAUUGCGCCUCUUGGUAUUCCUAGAGGCAUGCCUGUUCGAGCGUCAUUAAAAGCCAUCAAGCGAGCUUGCCUCGCUUGGUCCUGGGGGAUGGGGUCACCCUUCGGGGAGGCGCCACCCUCGAAAUCCAACGGCGGACAACCACCAGUGGAAACUGCAGCGUAGUAAUUCAUUCUUUCGCCAGCGGCCACGGAGGGACUGUCCCGCCGGUCAAACCCCCACAUAUUCAAUGGUUGACCUCGGAUCAGGUAGGGAUACCCGCUGAACUUAAGCAUAUCCAAUAAGCGGAGGA